UGAAUAUGGGGGGACCAUCCUCCAAGGCUAAAUACUCCUGACUGACCGAUAGUGAACCAGUACCGUGAGGGAAAGGCGAAAAGAACCCCGGCGAGGGGAGUGAAAAAGAACCUGAAACCGUGUACGUACAAGCAGUGGGAGCACAGAGCAAUCUGUGUGACUGCGUACCUUUUGUAUAAUGGGUCAGCGACUUAUAUUCUGUAGCAAGGUUAACCGAAUAGGGGAGCCGAAGGGAAACCGAGUCUUAACUGGGCGUUAAGUUGCAGGGUAUAGACCCGAAACCCGGUGAUCUAGCCAUGGGCAGGUUGAAGGUUGGGUAACACUAACUGGAGGACCGAACCGACUAAUGUUGAAAAAUUAGCGGAUGACUUGUGGCUGGGGGUGAAAGGCCAAUCAAACCGGGAGAUAGCUGGUUCUCCCCGAAAGCUAUUUAGGUAGCGCCUCGUGAAUUCAUCUCCGGGGGUAGAGCACUGUUUCGGCAAGGGGGUCAUCCCGACUUACCAACCCGAUGCAAACUGCGAAUACCGGAGAAUGUUAUCACGGGAGACACACGGCGGGUGCUAACGUCCGUCGUGAAGAGGGAAACAACCCAGACCGCCAGCUAAGGUCCCAAAGUCAUGGUUAAGUGGGAAACGAUGUGGGAAGGCCCAGACAGCCAGGAUGUUGGCUUAGAAGCAGCCAUCAUUUAAAGAAAGCGUAAUAGCUCACUGGUCGAGUCGGCCUGCGCGGAAGAUGUAACGGGGCUAAACCAUGCACCGAAGCUGCGGCAGCGACGCUUAUGCGUUGUUGGGUAGGGGAGCGUUCUGUAAGCCUGUGAAGGUGUACUGUGAGGUAUGCUGGAGGUAUCAGAAGUGCGAAUGCUGACAUAAGUAACGAUAAAGCGGGUGAAAAGCCCGCUCGCCGGAAGACCAAGGGUUCCUGUCCAACGUUAAUCGGGGCAGGGUGAGUCGACCCCUAAGGCGAGGCCGAAAGGCGUAGUCGAUGGGAAACAGGUUAAUAUUCCUGUACUUGGUGUUACUGCGAAGGGGGGACGGAGAAGGCUAUGUUGGCCGGGCGACGGUUGUCCCGGUUUAAGCGUGUAGGCUGGUUUUCCAGGCAAAUCCGGAAAAUCAAGGCUGAGGCGUGAUGACGAGGCACUACGGUGCUGAAGCAACAAAUGCCCUGCUUCCAGGAAAAGCCUCUAAGCAUCAGGUAACAUCAAAUCGUACCCCAAACCGACACAGGUGGUCAGGUAGAGAAUACCAAGGCGCUUGAGAGAACUCGGGUGAAGGAACUAGGCAAAAUGGUGCCGUAACUUCGGGAGAAGGCACGCUGAUAUGUAGGUGAAGUCCCUCGCGGAUGGAGCUGAAAUCAGUCGAAGAUACCAGCUGGCUGCAACUGUUUAUUAAAAACACAGCACUGUGCAAACACGAAAGUGGACGUAUACGGUGUGACGCCUGCCCGGUGCCGGAAGGUUAAUUGAUGGGGUCAGCGCAAGCGAAGCUCUUGAUCGAAGCCCCGGUAAACGGCGGCCGUAACUAUAACGGUCCUAAGGUAGCGAAAUUCCUUGUCGGGUAAGUUCCGACCUGCACGAAUGGCGUAAUGAUGGCCAGGCUGUCUCCACCCGAGACUCAGUGAAAUUGAACUCGCUGUGAAGAUGCAGUGUACCCGCGGCAAGACGGAAAGACCCCGUGAACCUUUACUAUAGCUUGACACUGAACAUUGAGCCUUGAUGUGUAGGAUAGGUGGGAGGCUUUGAAGUGUGGACGCCAGUCUGCAUGGAGCCGACCUUGAAAUACCACCCUUUAAUGUUUGAUGUUCUAACGUUGACCCGUAAUCCGGGUUGCGGACAGUGUCUGGUGGGUAGUUUGACUGGGGCGGUCUCCUCCUAAAGAGUAACGGAGGAGCACGAAGGUUGGCUAAUCCUGGUCGGACAUCAGGAGGUUAGUGCAAUGGCAUAAGCCAGCUUGACUGCGAGCGUGACGGCGCGAGCAGGUGCGAAAGCAGGUCAUAGUGAUCCGGUGGUUCUGAAUGGAAGGGCCAUCGCUCAACGGAUAAAAGGUACUCCGGGGAUAACAGGCUGAUACCGCCCAAGAGUUCAUAUCGACGGCGGUGUUUGGCACCUCGAUGUCGGCUCAUCACAUCCUGGGGCUGAAGUAGGUCCCAAGGGUAUGGCUGUUCGCCAUUUAAAGUGGUACGCGAGCUGGGUUUAGAACGUCGUGAGACAGUUCGGUCCCUAUCUGCCGUGGGCGCUGGAGAACUGAGGGGGGCUGCUCCUAGUACGAGAGGACCGGAGUGGACGCAUCACUGGUGUUCGGGUUGUCAUGCCAAUGGCACUGCCCGGUAGCUAAAUGCGGAAGAGAUAAGUGCUGAAAGCAUCUAAGCACGAAACUUGCCCCGAGAUGAGUUCUCCCUGACUCCUUGAGAGUCCUGAAGGAACGUUGAAGACGACGACGUUGAUAGGCCGGGUGUGUAAGCGCAGCGAUGCGUUGAGCUAACCGGUACUAAUGAACCGUGAGGCUUAACCUU
RNAcentral lists this ribosomal RNA (2508 nucleotides) under Escherichia coli. RNAcentral's name for it is "partial 23S ribosomal RNA". It matches the Rfam family "Bacterial large subunit ribosomal RNA", at positions 439 to 2925 of the family's 2925-position model. The record is from RNAcentral. Lineage: Bacteria; Pseudomonadati; Pseudomonadota; Gammaproteobacteria; Enterobacterales; Enterobacteriaceae.